This is a long non-coding RNA of Serinus canaria (Common canary), 400 nucleotides long. RefSeq lists it as uncharacterized. The record is from RefSeq and is a predicted model, not a curated record. The transcript has 3 exons. Lineage: Eukaryota; Metazoa; Chordata; Aves; Passeriformes; Fringillidae.
GCGAGGACUGGGAGAAUGGGGGGAACUGGGGGGAACUGGGGUUCCUUGGGUGGGUUUGGGGUUCCCUGGGUGGGUUUGGGGGUCCCAGGGCAGGUUUGGGGUGCUGACCCUCCAUCCCCUCCCCAGCUGGUUUGAGGCACCAACGUGUUCGGGGUGCUGCGGGGAUGUUGGGGUCUCUGGGCAGGCUUGGGGGGUCCCAGGGUGAUUUAGGGGUGCUCUCUGGGUGGAUUUGGGGGUCCCAGAUGAUUUAGGGGUGCUCUCUGGGUCCAUUUGGGGUCCCAGAUGCUUUAGGGGGUCCCAGGUGCUUUAGGGGGUCCCAGGUGCUUUAGGGGGUCCCAGGUGCUCUAGGGGUGCUCUCUGGGCAGGUUUGGGGGUCCCAGGUGCUUUAGGGGUGCUCUCU